CGCGCAGCCCCUCAGGCAGACGAUGGCGGGCAAGCGGGUUGAACACUAGGUGAAGAGGAUGGACGAUGAAAUACCGUCAGGACUAUUAGUGAGACGAGAGGAAGAUAGUGUUCAUUAUUGCGUGUGCUUGUGCGUUUUGAGACGUGACAAAAGUGGAAACUUAAAAAAAAUAGGGAAAGGAAAAAAACAAAAAAUACGAAGUGUAAACUUCAAGGCGUUAGUGGUAAUGAAAAGAAAAAAAGAAAAAAGAAAACAAGAGAAAAACAGGAAAACUAAAUUUCAUAGAAAAACUAAAGUAGAAACUGAAAAAGUGAAGUAGAAACAAAGAUAAACAAAAUUUCAAACUGAAAAAAAAGUGGAAAACAAACUAAGUGAAAAACGAAAGUUGUCAAGACCACCACGGCCGCCACACACACCACGGGGCACGUGGAGUCUGUAGCCUGAGCCGGACUCCCCUCACCCCGGGCCAAGGAAGCUACUGCUCAGACUUUAUCUUCCAUGGCCAGGCAGUGUCGGGACGUCCGGUGCGGGCGGGCAGGGCUCUCUCCACGGCCACCUGCUGGGCUGUGUGGGGCGGACCUGCGCCACCUUGGUCACCAGUGGAACCACGACACGACGGGAACCGGGAACCCUCUGGCCUUGCAGGUAUGGUUCCGGCGUCACGUGUGAGAGGAAAUAACAAAGGUAGGAUGCGUUUUUUUUUUCAAUUCCUUGCGUUUUGAUAUGACGUUUGGAAAAUCUUGUCGUAUGGGAGUAGAAUCGUCGUUACGUGCACAGAGAGUUGAAUAACUUGUAACAUAAUUCGACGCGUAUAAAGUAAUAAUAAUAAUAACAAUAAUGAUAAAAUCACGCUGCGUUUAGAUUGGUCACCCAUUCAUUGCAUCCGUUUUCUUCCAUCGCGAUCCAUUCCACAUCUUUAAGGGUAGUAUUAAAUAUUUUUCUCGAACAUACCCUUUUAAUUUGUUUCAUAUAAUCGGGUUGAACAGUUGUUUGCGUUAUGAUUUGAAUUGAUACGAAAUGAAACACGGAAGUUACACAUUGGAUUUUAUUAACUGCUGCUUGCCCAGAUUGAUUUUUAUUUCACAUUUUCUGGAUCAAUGGAACUAUUUGAUGAAGACGAAAGACAUGCAUUUGUGUUGCAUGUAACUACUUAAAGAGGGAAUGAUAAUGAUAUAUAAUUGUGGAGGUAUUUGAGCUUGCUUAACUCACUG
Molecule: long non-coding RNA, 1211 nt
Organism: Eriocheir sinensis (Chinese mitten crab)
Lineage: Eukaryota; Metazoa; Arthropoda; Malacostraca; Decapoda; Varunidae
Exons: 4
Source: RefSeq, a predicted model, not a curated record